Sander lucioperca (pikeperch) is the source of this 326-nucleotide long non-coding RNA. RefSeq lists it as uncharacterized. The transcript has 3 exons. The record is from RefSeq and is a predicted model, not a curated record. Lineage: Eukaryota; Metazoa; Chordata; Actinopteri; Perciformes; Percidae.
GAAAACACAUCAUGUUAUAUGACAUGUUAUGCUACUGUACUGCAAUUUAUAUGGAAGGAGAAUAAAAACACACCAUAUGGUCCAGGGGUAACUGCAGGCCUCUUCCUCCCUGUCAUCUUCAUCUACCUCCUCCUGAUCACUCUCUGCCUCUGUCCCCCUAUCUGAAUCUGCAGCCUCCUCUUCAUCCCUCACAGUCAAUUCUCCCUUUCCCUUUUCUCUUUCACUUAUUUCUGCAUCUCCUUCUUUGGUCUUCUCCUGCUCUAACCCGCCUGGUCUCUCCAGUUUACUGCCUUCUCCUUCUUCAUUUCCCUCCUUCUUUUCCUCCU